AACGGAACCACGCCGGGAGGUGGGGAGGAGCCCAAGCCGGGGAGGUCCCUCCAGCGGCCGGCCCCCGGGCGCAGCGGGCGUAGGGGGUGUGGCCCGGGGGAGGGACGCUGUGGAGGCGGCACCUUCCGGUGGGGCCCCGACCCUUGGGGGCGGGGACGCUUACAAGGAAGAGCUGGUAGAGCUCCUCUCCCAUGGACCGGCGGACGUGCUCCUCCACCACCGGGAACAUCUGCACGAAGUACUGCGACGGCGGGCGGGGCGGCGGGGUGACUGCGGUGCCCUCGCCUGGGGCCCACCCACCCGCCGCCCCGCCGCUCACCUCCAGCGUGAGGCUGGCCUGCCGCUGGCUGUUGCAGUGGUCCGAGUUGCCCAUGGCGGCUAACAGGCCGUGCACCACGCGCAGGUGCAGCAUCUCCUCCGCGAUGCUCGUGUUGCUGCGCGCCAGGACCCUGGGCCGGGAAUUCGGGCGGCGGCGAGCCCUUGGGACCCUCUGGCGCCGGGCGGCCCGAGCCCCUCCGGGCCCCGCGGGCCCCGCCAGCUGGCUUGCCGCAUUCCACCCCCAUCCCCAUUCCCCCUGCCCGCUUACCCGAUGGCCUUGGCCGCCGCGGCCUGCUGCAAGAACACCGGCAGGUGGGCGGUGAGCUGGGGAACCAAGGAGUCUGGCGGAGGGGGCCGCCGUGAGGCGGGAGGACCUGCAUCCCAACCACCCCCCUCCAGCCUCAAUCUGAGCGACUCCCUACCGUUGAGGAUCUUGGGCUGCAGUUUUCUGGUCUCCUUGACGGACGGUAUCAGCAGCUCCACCAGGCCCUUGAGCAGGGUCUGGCACACGUCGUAGCUGACCAGGUCCUUGAUCAGCUCGAUGGCUGUUGAAGGGCAGAGGCCCUGGGGAGGCCUGACGCUCCAAACCGCCCCCACCCCCACCAAGCAAGCAAAGACCCCCUUGAACCAAGUUGCUUCCUUUUACCCCCAUCCCCUUCCUGCACUUUUCCUAGCACCUUUUACUGGCCAGCACCGUGCAAGAUGUGUGUGGGAGAAGCUGGGGAGGCAACACCACAGUCCUGCUGGAUCUGGGGCUAAGAGGAGGAGGAGGGGGUCGAGCCUCAUUCCCUUCACUCUCCCUUCACAGAACUACCUACAGAGGGAGGAAGAAAGGUUGGACGGCUCACCUCAGCAACUAGAUUUCAAGUAGCUUUGUCUGGCCUGUUCUCCCUCUGCCUCCACUCUGGACCACUGAGGAGUAGGUGUCCUGUGUCUCUGGCCAUUUGCUCACCAUGGAGUCCUGCUGUCAUCCAAUAAUAGCCUCUCCACUACUGUGAACACCAGUAAACAUAUCUGAGGCGCCUCUGCCUCCCCCAAGCCUCAAACCAGUCCAGUCCAUAAAAGUUGAAGAGAAUUGGCUGGAUUCCGCAUUCCCGCGCGCUAGAGACAAUUGAGGUGAUGGCAGCCCAAGACUGUGGAAACUGCCAGCCUGGUGGGAGAUGACCUCAGGAGAGGCUCUGCCCUGCCCGCUGCGGCCCUCGUCUGCCCUGAGCCUGGGAACUGUGCCUGGCCCUGCCUCUUCACAGGCUGGAGAUGGCGCAAGGCCAUCCUUCCAGCCCCGCCAUGGCCAACUCUGAGAGAACACUUGGAAGCCAGGACCUUAUGCUUCCUCGUCAGCCUAGAACUGAGCCACACGCCUGAGUACUCGCGGCAGAGAAGGCAGGCGCACGGAAAGGUGAAGGGACUGUAGCCCCUCCUGCGCAGUGGGGGACGAGGCGCAGGGGACCAGGGGCCAGUGAUAGGAGUGCACAGAUCUGCAGAGCGCAUGGAACGGGUGUCUACAGGCUGUGUGCAGCCCUUGCAAGCUUUACUAACUUAACUACAAACAUGCCUAUGGUGCCUAACCACAGACAUGUGCUGGUGACUUCUAAUCUUGUCGGAAGACCGUCACUGACAGUCCCCAGCAGCUCAGUGAGUGGCCUGUUCACCUGGAGGCAGAGGCUGGAGAGGCAGCCAGCAGCCCCAUCCUGGGUCUCAGACUCCAUACACUCUUCUCCUGCCUGGUGCUGAGCAUUGCCAGCGGCCAACACUCCCAGAAGGAGGGGGGCUGACUUCUCUCCAGGACUCAGAGUGCUCUUUGGCAGGAAGGAGAACCAAUUUGGGCUGAACCUUGGGAAACCCGAGUCCCAGUUCUCGGUCUUCACUUCCACGCGACUGCCACCUGCUGGCCACAUGUGAGAAGUGUGCUUCAGGGAGCGUCCAGGCACAGGUUUGCCUCCUUUCCCUGCUGGCAGGAGUGAGAAUACAUUUGGCGAGUUGCUAUUACAAGGAAGAGACCAGUGUCAAGGAGCUUCCUGACCAACUGCAUUCUAUCUCUGAAUCCUGUACAUCUCCUUACCUCUUUCAUCACAGCCUGUUCAAAGCCCACCGUUGAAACACAAAAAAAGCAUGUUUUAUACACUAUUUCUUUGAAAAAAGCCAGUUGAUAAAGGAAUGAAUGUUAUGUGCUCUAGUAGUAUAUGUACUGCUCAAUUAAGAAUGACUGUAGUGUAGGGCGCCUGGGUGGCUCAGCGGGUUGAGCCUCUGCUUUAAGCUCAGGUCAUGAUCUCGGGGUCCUGGCAUCAAGCCCUGCA
Lutra lutra (Eurasian river otter) is the source of this 2612-nucleotide long non-coding RNA. RefSeq lists it as uncharacterized. Lineage: Eukaryota; Metazoa; Chordata; Mammalia; Carnivora; Mustelidae. The record is from RefSeq and is a predicted model, not a curated record. The transcript is spliced from 3 exons.